RNAcentral lists this long non-coding RNA (294 nucleotides) under Nicotiana benthamiana. RNAcentral's name for it is "long non-coding RNA (NBEN_LNC013332)". The record is from RNAcentral. Lineage: Eukaryota; Viridiplantae; Streptophyta; Magnoliopsida; Solanales; Solanaceae.
UUGCAUAGUACUGGUUUCCAGUCAUACUGAAUUCUCUGUUUUACAAGUGAACCUUUUUAUUCUUAAAAUGUACCUUGUUUUUUUUUUUUUAGUAUAACUGUUAUAUUUUAUUAAUAUCAAAGGAAUGUACAAUGUAAGUUCUAUAAUAGUAGCUUGUACUAGCUGCUACUCAUUUACAGAUAACCAUCUAUAUUAAGACAACUACCAAUAAGCACAAAUGCCAACUCAGUAUAGGGAUAUCUAUUAGACUAUAACUAAGGAAAACAAUUAAGUUGCCGCAAGCCAUUUUGCCAU